ACUCAAAUGAAUUGACGGGGGCCCGCACAAGCGGUGGAGCAUGUGGUUCAAUUCGAUGCAACGCGAAGAACCUUACCUGGGUUUGACAUGUACUGGAAGGCUACCAGAAAUGGUGCCGCCUUCGGGCCGGUACACAGGUGCUGCAUGGCUGUCGUCAGCUCGUGUCGUGAGAUGUUGGGUUAAGUCCCGCAACGAGCGCAACCCUUGCCAUUAGUUGCCAGCAUUCAGUUGGGCACUCUAAUGGGACUGCCGACGUUAAGUCGGAGGAAGGUGGGGAUGACGUCAAGUCCUCAUGGCCUUUAUAUCCAGGGCUACACACGUGCUACAAUGGGCGGCACAAUGGGCAGCGAAAUCGCAAGAUGAAGCAAAUCCCAUAAAACCGUUCUAAGUUCGGAUUGGAGUCUGCAACUCGACUCCAUGAAGCUGGAAUCGCUAGUAAUCGUGAAUCAGCACGCCACGGUGAAUACGUUCCCGGGCCUUGCACACACCGCCCGU
This 495-nucleotide ribosomal RNA is filed under the name uncultured bacterium. RNAcentral describes it as "partial 16S ribosomal RNA". It matches the Rfam family "Bacterial small subunit ribosomal RNA", at positions 899 to 1397 of the family's 1533-position model. The record is from RNAcentral.